RNAcentral lists this ribosomal RNA (251 nucleotides) under uncultured bacterium. RNAcentral's name for it is "partial 16S ribosomal RNA". It matches the Rfam family "Bacterial small subunit ribosomal RNA", at positions 526 to 776 of the family's 1533-position model. The record is from RNAcentral.
CGAAGGGGGCUAGCGUUGUUCGGCAUUACUGGGCGUAAAGGGCGCGUAGGCGGUGUGUCAAGUCAGGCGUGAAAGCCCCGGGCUCAACCUGGGAACCGCGCUUGAGACUGGCACGCUCGAGUUCGGGAGAGGAUGGUGGAAUUCCCAGUGUAGAGGUGAAAUUCGUAGAUAUUGGGAAGAACACCGAUGGCGAAGGCAGCCAUCUGGACCGACACUGACGCUGAGGCGCGAAAGCGUGGGGAGCAAACAGG